ACAGUAGGGAAUCUUCCACAAUGGACGAAAGUCUGAUGGAGCAACGCCGCGUGAGUGAUGAAGGUUUUCGGAUCGUAAAGCUCUGUUGUUAGGGAAGAACAAGUGCGAGAGUAACUGCUCGCACCUUGACGGUACCUAACCAGAAAGCCACGGCUAACUACGUGCCAGCAGCCGCGGUAAUACGUAGGUGGCAAGCGUUGUCCGGAAUUAUUGGGCGUAAAGCGCGCGCAGGUGGUUUCUUAAGUCUGAUGUGAAAGCCCACGGCUCAACCGUGGAGGGUCAUUGGAAACUGGGGAACUUGAGUGCAGAAGAGGAAAGUGGAAUUCCAAGUGUAGCGGUGAAAUGCGUAGAGAUUUGGAGGAACACCAGUGGCGAAGGCGACUUUCUGGUCUGUAACUGACACUGAGGCGCGAAAGCGUGGGGAGCAAACAGGAUUAGAUACCCUGGUAGUCCACGCCGUAAACGAUGAGUGCUAAGUGUUAGAGGGUUUCCGCCCUUUAGUGCUGCAGCUAACGCAUUAAGCA
Molecule: ribosomal RNA, 524 nt
Filed under: Bacillus sp. (in: firmicutes)
Lineage: Bacteria; Bacillati; Bacillota; Bacilli; Caryophanales; Bacillaceae
Description: bacterial SSU rRNA
Rfam family: Bacterial small subunit ribosomal RNA
Source: RNAcentral